Molecule: long non-coding RNA, 19326 nt
Filed under: Theobroma cacao (cacao)
Lineage: Eukaryota; Viridiplantae; Streptophyta; Magnoliopsida; Malvales; Malvaceae
Description: long non-coding RNA (TCAC_LNC005784)
Source: RNAcentral
UCGUGUCUAUUAAAGAAAUUAAAACAAGUAACUUGCUAGUAAAGCAUAAGCCCUUCACAAUUUAACCAAUGAUAGGAACCCUGGUAACAAUCCCAUAGGUGUUAACCCAAACUCGAACCCUAGUGCACAAGAAAUCCGCUGUAACAAAUGAUCCUUCCAACACAAUCACAGCAUUGACAUGAGGAUUCUCCUUCUCAAUUCUUGCUGCCGCAUCCUCCCCUUUCUUCCCCACAAGCUCAGGCCAAGAACUUUUCCCUACAUUUAUAGCCACAAGAACUUAUAUAAUUGCUUUUAAGGAAAUAAAAUCAUUAGUACAAUUACAAAUCAUUCUUAGCUUCGAAAGUUGUUAAUAUUUACCUUUGCAUUCAUCUGAAGCCAUCUUGUUCUUCCUCUUACUCUAUUGAACUAUUUUUCCUCCUUUGAUUUAUUUGUGUUAUGAAAACUAGUUAAGAUGGGAAUUUAUAGAUGAGUAGGUUAGCCUGCUGCUCAUUAUUGACCUUUCUAGGAAGCUUAUGUAGAAAGUUUGAAGUGUUUUUAUGGGGAUAAAUUGUUUGUUGUAUUCCACUAUCAGCUCUGAUGAAGAUUAGGAUGAAGACAGUUGGUGCACUCUUCAGCAAUUUUUCUCACUUUCCUUACCAAAAUUAAAUUUAGAGUUCACAGAUAUAUGGUUUCCACAACCAUUUGUCUAAUGAAAUUUUCGAUUACUACAUAUUGUUUGAACAGCUCAAAUCUUAACUUGUCUAGAUUUUUCAAAAUUGGAUUAUACUUCAAGAUAUCUUGAAACAUUUAUUGGCUUAAAACAAUGAAUUUAAGUCAAUUAAUGAUCCAUAUAUAUAUACAUAUAUCUCUAUAAACAAAGGACCAAAAUCUUAAUCAUGUAAAAGAGAAAGCAAAAAUGAAAACCACAAACAUAUGAGAUAAAGUUGAAGUCUUUGAUGUGUUCCAACAAGGAAGAUUUGAAAUUCAAUUUGUGUAUGGUGCGAACACCCAAAACUUAAAGAAAAACAAACAUAUAGAAAGUCAUAAUAACUAUAUAUCUAUAAACAACUUUAAACAAGCACAGAAAUUUUAAAGCUAUAUAUAAAGAGUUGAAAGUCUUUGUUGCAAGAAGGAAGGUGAAUAUUAGAUUUUGAUUUAUCUUCGGAGAAGUGAUUGUUAAAUGUUAAUAUAUUCUUUGAUUAUUUAAAGUCAACAGAGCAAUAAUGAGCAUGGUAGAUUUAAAUGGUAUGUUCAAUUCUUUUAGAAUUAGACAUUAUCUUUGAGGUUUUGAGCAUCCAUAUUUAAUUAGCUUGAAGACGAUGUACAAUGCUUCAAUGAUUAAUUUAUCAAGUUAAUUGAUGUCAGAGGGUCUGAACCGACUAUCUAUUAAGCAAAAUCAGAUUUUUAUCUUAUCAAGCGUUGUUUAUGGUUUUCUAAAUGGCUAAAGCACAAAAUAAGUCCUUAUACUAAAAAUAUCUAUCAUAUGAGCUUUUAUCUUUUUAUUGCAUUAAAUAUUUGAGCUCUUAAUCAAUUAUUACAAUCAAUCGAGUCCUUUUGGAUAUAUAAAAAUUUUAACACCAUUAACUCUUUCUACCAAUGAGAACAGAAUUGUCAUGUGCCAUAAAUAAUGUGGAACACACAGCAUUUUUUAGGCAUGUGUUAAAAUAAAAAAAAAACAAAGAAUUUAAUAAUUUUUUCAUUGAAAUUUUCUAUGCGUCUGAUUACAUCAAAGCUUCUUUGAACAGUUCCAUGUCUUUACUUGCAGAUAUUGCAAUAGCCAAUAGGGAAGCUUAUCACCAAGAUUGGCUUAUGCUUCAAGACAUUUCUUGAAUCAGGGCAAGGUUGAAAAUUGAUCUAGAUCUCUACUGGUCAAAGUCAGCCUGUAAAUAUAUUGCUUACGUUGAAAAUUGUGCAUUUUCAUUCACAUUCAAUCCAAAUUUUCUAACAAGAUAGUUAAUUAAUUAUUGUAAGCAUUCGGUUUUCAUUUUAUAAAUACUAGAGUGGUGCCUCGCUUUGUGUGGGUGUUAAAUUUUUUAUUAAAAAUUAUAUAAUAUUAUAAAUAAAAAUAAUAAUAUCAAGAGCAAUAAUUUUAAAUUUAAAAAUACUAUAAAUAAUAGUUAUAAUGAUAAUUUAAAGAAAAUUAUUUUUUAAAAUAUUUCUCAUCUCUUAUUAAGCAAAAAUUUUAUUUAAAUAAUUUUUUUUAAAACAUUUAAUUUUUUAUAUCUUAAUAUAUGCUAAUAUUGAUAUAUUCAUAUUUUAUUAAUUACAUGAUUCUAAUAGUGAAAUCAAAUUCAUAUUGAAAAAAUAUAAUGUUUUAAAAGUAAUUAUUGAUAAGCUAUAUAAUUGAUAUAAUAAAAUUAUUCAAAUAAAAUAAAUAUUUUUUGAAAGUCAAAAUGAAAUAAAUAUUAAUUAUACUUAUUAAUUUUUUUAGUUUUAAUGAUGAAAUGUUCUAAAUGAUCUUUAAUUUUAAUUAGUACUUUUUUAUCUCAUGCCUUUAUAAUUGUUUAGAAUUAAUUCCCCUUAUAAUUCCUAUCGUGUCUCAUUAAAAAUUAAAAAUUUGCUUCACAUCAAACUUGAAUGAAAUCCAUAAAUGUGCACCAAAAAAAGUUUAUUUUUAUAUUUUAUUUUAUAAAGAAUAUAUAUUUCAUAAUACAUGAAAGCACUGUUAGCUUCAAUUUCCUAUGAACCAAAACAUUAUCAAUACGGAAAAAAUGCUCUUAUGAAGCUAAAGAAAAAAAAUCUUCUGUUGACAAUCCUAAAUGCAACCGACCCCACAAAAAUCAUCUCAAAAUUCUUUAUAAAUCAAUCAUUUUAAAUUAGCCACAUGUCAAUAAAAGAAGCCACAAACGUGGCCAAGUGUGGAAGCCCCUGUAGGGCUUCAUUUUACUUAUGUUAUAGAUAUAUCUAUAUAUUGAAUCGAAAGUGUACAUUUAAUUUGAAAUAGAUCAUAGGAAAUGUAACAUGGAGUGAAAUUAUAAAGUGUUUUGUGAUCUUUAUUGAGAUUUCAUUUUUAUGUAAUGUAGAGAAACAAACUCAAUGAUGAACCAUGAUAGAGUUGAAUCAUUUCAUUUUCAUCACAGCUUGAACACGAACCAAUGGGGAAUCAAACCGAGGGGGUCUGUACCGAGGCAGGGUAUUACUAUUCUACCAUUAGAGUCCUUCCAACUUCACCUUGACAAAAUUAUCACCACGCAGCCCUAACCCCUAAAUCUGAUGAAAAACCCAAAAUGCCUCUGUCCCAAAAUAUUUAAAUUACAUUUACAUAUUUUUUAUCAAUAAUGAUUUGCAGUUUUUAAGUAUUAAUUACAUACAAGGGAGCCAAAUCAUGUUCAUCUUGCAAGAAAGAAAUGACAUGAUGCUUCAUUUUUUUAAAAAAAGAAGAAAUUAAAACUAAAUGUAACCUACAUCUAUAUAUAAAGUAUAAAUUAAUAACUUUUCUUUGAAAAUUAGAAAUUCAUAUCUGUCCAUGGCAUUCUCUUUCCAGAUUCCAAUUUCAUGGCAAAGUCUUUCCAUAUGUCUGAUCUCUACAUACUAUUGCACAUCCCAAAUCAGAAAUCAGGCUUUGAUAUCUUAUAAUGCUUUAUCCUGAUCUCACAAAAUAAAUGUUGUAGUAGUUGACAAGGUAAUUUGUUCUCUAUGUUCAUAUAUUACGAAUAAAUAACAGUUUACAGAAUUAGAUUUGACUCAAUAGUUCAUGUAUGUGUUCCCUUCAAAGAGUGGGAUUUGAAUUUCUUUUCUCCAAAAAACCAAAAGAAAGAAAACGUUAUAAGAUUGUCAUUAUUUGCAAUAAUAUUCUCCAACAUCACAAGAAUUAAUCCUUCUUGAGCAAUAGGUACGUUAAAAGGAUGCAAUAGGACAUUUUGCAAAGAAUGGACCAUUUAGGUCCGGCACCUUCAAAAUGUUGUAUUUCUUCUCCCUUAAUUCCAAAUUCAAGUGCAUGAAAAAAUAUGAUCAUAAAAUACAAAGAAGCCUUAAUGGAGAUGGUUAAAAAUCUUAUUCCAAACAAAAAAUAAAUUAUAGAUUUAAAUAAAGAUAAUGAGAUCGUAUAACAUAAUAGUGGGUAUUCUUAUUUUAAAUUACAAUACGUAAUUUGUGUUUAUUAAAGAAAUUAAAACAAGUAACUUGCUAGUAAAGCAUAAGCCCUUCACAAUUUAACCAAUGGUCGGAACCCUGGUAACAAUCCCAUAGGUGUUAACCCAAACUCGAACCCUAGUGCACAAGAAAUCCGCUGUAACAAAUGAUCCUUCCAACACAAUCACAGCAUUGACAUGAGGAUUCUCCUUCUCAAUUCUUGCCGCUGCAUCCUCCCCUUUCUUCCCCACAAGCUCAGGCCAAGAACUUUUCCCUACAUUUAUAGCCACAAGAACUUAUAUAAUUGCUUUUAAGGAAAUAAAAUUAUUAUUACAAUUACAAAUCAUUCUUAGCUUCGAAAGUUGUUAAUAUUUACCUUCGCAUUCAUCUGAAGCCAUCUUGUUCUUCCUCUUACUCUAUUGAACUAUUUUUUCUCCUUUGAUUUAUUUGUGUUAUGGAAACUAGUUAAGAUGGGUAUUUAUAGAUGAGUAGGUUAGCCUGCUGCUCAUUAUUGACCUUUCUUAGAAGCUUAUGUUGAAAGUUUCAAGUAUUUUUUUUGGGGAUAAAUUGUUUGUUGUAUUCCAACAUCAGCUCUGAUGAAGAUUAGGAUGAAGACAGUUGGUGCACUCUUCAGCAAUUUUUCUCACUUUCCUUACCAAAAUUAAAUUUAGAGUUCAAGGAUAUAUGGUUUCCGCGACCAUUUGUCUAAUGAAAUUUUCUAUUACUACAUAUUGUUUGAACAGCUCAAAUCUUAACUUGUCUAGAUUUUUCAAAAUUGGAUUAUGCUUCAAGAUAUCUUGAAACAUUUAUUGGCUUAAAACUAUGAAUUUAAGUCAAUUGAUGAUCCAUAUACAUAUAUCUAUAAACAAAGGACCAAAUCUUAAUCAUGUAAAAGAGAAAGCAAAAAUGAAAACCACAAACAUAUGAGAUAAAGUUGAAGUCUUUGAUGUGUUCCAACAAGGAAGAUUUGAAAUUCAAUUUGUGUAUGGUGUGAACACCCAAAAAUUAAAGAAAAACAAACACAUUGAAAGUCAUAAUAGCUAUAUAUCUAUAAACAACUUUAAACAAGCACAGAAAUUUUAAAACUAUAUAUAAAGAGUUGAAAGUCUUCGUUCCAAGAAGGAAGACUGAAUCUUAUAUUUUGAUUUAUCUCUCGGAGAAGUGAUUGUUAAAUGAUAAUAUAUUCUUUGAUUAUUUAAAGUCAAUAGGGCAAUAAUGAGUAUGAAGAUAUAAAUGGUAUAUUCAAUUCUUUUAGAAUUAGACAUUAUCUUUGAGGUUUUGAGCAUCCAUAUUUAAAUAGCUUGAAGACGAUGUACAAUGCUUCAAUGAUUAAUUUAUCAAGUUAAUUAAUAAGUUAGGUUCCAAGUCCAAAUUGUACUCUUAAAAAAUGGGUUAAAAUUAAAUUGGUUUCGUCUCACUGAUUAAGUAAUCAUUUAUAACUAUUUAUUCUAUUAUUUAUUAUUACUAAUGUCGGAGAGUCUAAACCAACUAUCUAUUAAGCAAAAUCAAAUUUUAAUCUUAUCAGGCAUUGUUUAUGGUUUUCUAAAUGGCUAAAGCACAAAAUAAGUCCUUAUACUAAAAAUAUCUAUCAUUUGAGCUUUUAUCUUUUUAGUGCAUUAAAUAUUUGAGUUCUUAAUCAACUAUUACAAUCAAUUGAGUCCUUACUGGAAUAUAUAAAAAUUUUAACACCAUUAGCUCUUUCUAUCAAUGAGAAUAAGAUUGUCAUGUGACAUAAACAAUGUGGAACACACAGCAUUUUUUAGGCAUGUGUUAAAAUUAAAAAAAAAAAAACAAAGAAUUCCUUUCAUUCUUGACAUGUAUUAAAAAUGACCAUUUCUUUUAAUUUGACACACAUGCUCAAAAAAUGUCGUGUUAAUAUUUAUUCCACAUCAUUCAUGUCUCAUGAAAAUUAUAUCCCGACUAAUAGAAAUUAAAGAAUUAAUGGUGUUAAAAUUUUCAUCAAAUAAGAAUCCAAUUGAUUGUAAAUAAUUGAUUAAAAACCUAAUUAUUUACAAUAGAAUAGAAGCUCUUGCAACACAUUUAAUUGCAUACAAGGGCUUAUUUUGUUUUUAGUCAAAUCAUAUUCAUCUUGUGUGAAAGAAAUGACAUGAUGCCAGUCGACAUGGUGCUUCAAUAUUUUUUUUUUUAAAUAAACUACAUGUAACAUAAAUAAAGUAUAAUAUAAGUAUUUUCAUGAAUGCAUUAAAAAAUCAAUAACUUGAUUAGGCAUUGUACAAAUAUAUAACUAUCUUCCCUUUGGAAAUUAGAAAUUCAUAAUUCAUCCAUGGCAUUCUAUUUCCAGAUUCCAAUUUCAUGGCAAAGUGUUUCCAUAUGUCAUGUAUUUCUACAUUGCAAAUUCCAAAACAGAAAUCAGGCUUUGAUAUCUUAUAACUCAUUAACGAUUUGUGUAUGUAUUCCCUUCGGAGAGCCUUAAUGGAGACCGUUUAGCAUCUAAUUAGUCCAAAUUUGAAACAAAUUAGAGACUUACGUAGAUAAACAAUGAGAUCAAAUAAUCAAAUUUAUUCUUGUUUUAUAUUACAACAUAGUCCCCAUUUAUUAAAAAAAUAAAAGCAAGUAACUUGCUAUAGUCGAGCAUAAGCCCUUCACAAUAUAUUUAACCAAUGAUGGGAACCCUGGUAACGAUCCCAUCCGUGUUAACCCAAACCCGAACCCUAGUGCACAAGAACUCCAAUGUUACAAAUGUUCCUUCCAACACAAUCAUAGCAUUGACAUGAGGAUUCUCCUUCUCAAUUCUUGCCGCUGCAUCCUCCCCUUUCUUCCCCACAAGCUCAGGCCACGAACUUUUCCCUACACAUAUAGCCACAAGAAUGUAUAUAAUUAUUCUGAAGGAAAAAAAGUUAUUAGUACGAUUACAAAGCAUUCUUAGCUUUGAAAGUUGUUACUAUUUACCUUUGCAUUCGUCUGAAGCCAUCUUGUUCUUCUUUUCACUCUAUUGAACUAUUUUUUUCUACUUUGAUUUAUUUGUGUUAAGGCAACUAGUUAAGAUGGGUAUUUAUAGAUGAGGAGCAGAUUAGCCUGUUCCUCAUUGUUGACCUUUCCAGCAGGCUUAUGUUGAAAGUUUGAAGUGUUUUUUUGGGAGGGGAUAAAUUUUUUGUUGUAUUCCAACAUCACCUCUGAGAAAGAUUAGGAUGAAGAAAGUUGGUGCAUUUUUAAGCAAUGUUUCUCACUUUCCCUUCCAAAACUUAAUCUAUAAACCUAACAUAUUUGUGGUCUCAGCUGCCACUAUCUGCCCAAUGACAUUUUCAAUGCAUUUGAUUACAGCAAAGUAUCUUUGAACAGUUCAGCAUCUUAGCUUGUGGAUAUUGCAAUAGGAAGCUUAUCCCAAAGAUUGGAUUAUGGUGCAAGAUAUCUUGAAUCAGGGCAAGGUAUUCAAACAAAUAUGGCUUAAAAGUCAUCAGAAUUCUACUUCUAUAGGAAAAAUUUUUUUGAACAUUAAUCUUCCAUGACUCCAUCUUUCUUGAUGUUGCCGCUACCACUGCUUCUUCUGUUCUCUUGAUCACCUUUGAUGUCAAAAUUCCUUGAUGCUCCAUAACAAAAGCAAACUAAAGUGGUACACCUGCGACGCCGCCAGGAGUACAGACCAACAAGCUGAAAUCCUUUCUAUUUAUGCCGAUACCAUUCCAGACAGCUUUAUUUAUUAUGGCUAUUGAUCAACCAAAUUAAAAAUGGUGACGAGAUAUGGGUAUACCAUUUUUCUUUUGCACAAUCAGAAAUGCUUUAUUGAAUAUCACAGAAAACUGAUCACAAAAGAUCAGUAUGGAGUACAAUAUGACUCAUCACACUAAGGCUAACAGCCCCCAAAAAAAACAAAGGCACCAGAAGCCUCCCAUAAAGUAAUAGCAUGGUCACCAUUAGCUGUACUCAAUCGAAAACAGAGGAGGAAAGAUCUUACUUCUAUACUAUAUAUAUUAAUAUGAAGGUUAAUUCUGGUUUUGAGAUGUCUUGUUAGGUUUCUUCUUUCUUUUUCAUCUUGUUGUUGGGUUGAUCUUCUUUUUUGUUUUCUCCCCUUGUGGAUGUGUGUUUCUGUUUCUGUUUCUGUUUCUGUAUCUUUGUUUUCUGCUUCUGCGGGUGCUGGCUUUCUCAGCUAGUUUCCUUCUGAACCUCUGUUUCUUUUGUGAUGAUUAUGUUUCAUAUGGACAAUUUGUGUUCUAUUUUGUUGUUUUGAUCUUUUAAUUUUAAUUUUGGGAUGAGUCUUUUUGGAUAUUUCAUCUGUUUGAAAUCCAGUGAAUUGUAAAAUUGAUAGCUAGUCCACCAAACUUAAAAUAAAAAAAGUUGUAAUCACUAAAGCGUACACUAAAUUCAGCAAGGAAAAAACUCCAGCCUAGCUUGAUUACAAAAUUAAAAGUUCUAGAUAGGAAAUAUCUAUAAAGAGGAAUGCCAUAAUAUUUUGUUUUCUUUGUUUUAAUCUUUGGGCCAUGUCUAGCUUGGAAAUGGCUAACGAAUGUUGAGAAAUCAUUGUUCAGAUUGAUGAAUCAAGCACUUAGAACCCUAUGGUAGAAUCAUUAAAUGGAUAGACACUUUCAUGGUCCUUUCUUUUUGAAUUUAAUUCUAUGGCAAAGCCUUUCAUAUACCAGCUAUCCACAUUGCAAGUCUGGAAUCAGUAAUCAGCAAUAUUAUGUUAUCUUUAUGCUAUCUUAUUGUGUACGUAUCCAAGUUACAAAAUAUAAAGCCAUGUUGACAAGGGUAAGGAAGAAACAGGUAUAUAAGUUUUGGCUUUAUAGAGUGCAGGGCUGGAGAGUCUUCCAUCAUCCUAUUUCAUGUUUCUGGCAGUUUGAUAUCAAAAUCUCUGACUUUUAAAUAUAUGUAGCUACCGUCCAUGAAUAAAAGUCAACCAGAUUAUUAUACAAGUCCCUAACUCUAUAGCUCAUAUAGCUUAGCUCAACAAAAGCAAAUAUUCUUUGAUUAUUUAACUAAACGGCAUGUUAAAUUCAUUUACAAUUAGACACUAUCUUAAUUUGAGCAUUCAUACUGGAUAAUUUGAAGCCUAGGAAAAUUUAAUGCUUGAAUAUCAUUUGUAAUUUUAGCCAAUUUCUCAAUAAUAUAAUUAUUAAAUUUACUGUUUGAUAAAUCAGGUUGAAACUAAAAUGGUUUUGUCUCAUCAAUGAAGAAACCAUUUCUAUUUGAAUGGAUUUCUGCUUAGCACCAAGAUUCCAAAGACCAAUAGAAAGGCAUAGGCAGUGGUAGAUCAGCAUCAUCCACGAGUCAGCACUGACAGAGCACAAGCAGUUGAAAGUGCAGCAGCAUUCAAAGAGUGUUGCCAUAACAUAAUAAACCAGCAAAAUCAGAUUUUUUUAUCUUGUUUUGACUAAACAAGAAUUAAUUACUUUUCAUUAAGGAUGAGAUCGAUUCAUAUUGGCCAUCAAUUUGGAAAAGCAUAACAUUUUAUUGAUUUCAGCUUGAAAAAUAUAUUCAAGGCUAAUCUUUACAUUUAGAAGAAAAAAAGAAAAGCAACCUAGAUAUGAAAUACAAAAUUAUAAGGCUACUUCAAAUUGGCACAGGUAGCUCCGAAGGUGGCAGAUGGUCGAAAGCCAACAAUGCAUGUAUGUCAUCUACAUCCUUAUCAGUGAAAAGCUCAUCCAACUUGCUAUUCUCAUCUGUGUUCCUAAUUCCCCAUAGCUGAUCCACCUCCUUGAAAGAGUCAUCAUGGUUUAAUUCCUCAUAUCCACCCGAUAGCUCAUCUACAUUCUUACCAGUGACAAUGACAGGUUCAACCGGUUUGCUACUUUCACUGUUGUUGCUAAUCCCAUGUAGUUGAUCCACUUCCUUCAAACAGUCACCAUCGAUUAAUGCCUCAUAUUCACGCAAUAAUUCAUCUACGCUCUUAUCAAUGACAAGCUCAUCCAAGUUGCUAAUUUGAUCGUUGUUGCUAAUCCCCAAUAGUUGAUCCACCUCACUGUAGGGGUCUUCAUCCAGUAACUGAUCCAUCAAAGAAUCACCCUCACCUACUAGGCCAUUAGAAUCCAUUUCUCCAAAACCAUUUACUCGAGAUUCUGAUCGUUCCACCAAAAUUGAUGAUUGACAUUCCAGGUUCUCUGACUACUGCAACCUUCCAUCUACGUAAUUAUCUACCCAAGGACGGCAUUGUCCAUCAUCGAGCAAAGGUAAAUUUCCACUGAAAACAGCUUCUUGCAUUAAAGCAGAUGAUGGACAUUCUUUGUUUCCAAGAAACAGAUUUCCAAAAAGCUCAUUAACCCAAAAAGCUACACACUUAUCUUCCUCUGAACAGGCUGUGUCUUUGAUCUUGCAGAUAACCCAUUCUUGAAAAUUUUCUCUGGGGAGACGAUACUCAUGCAUAAGCCAGCUAGUUUUGGUGGCAUCCUUUGGAUUUCGUUUCUCACCCUUGUACUCAUAGAAGUUAAGGGUAUUCACGUACCCUAUAACAUGCUCUCCUUGUUCAUCAAGAAUAGGUUUCUCACCUGUUGAAGACCUCCAAAAUCCACCGUCUCCUACUGCUCGACUGUCAAGAACCCUUCUAGGUCGUUUUCCAUUUGCAUUCUUUUGAGAAAUCUUCUGUCGAUGGGUGAAGACGAAACGCUGGUUGGGUUUGACGAACGGAAGAAAGCCUUUGUUAACAUCAAACAGGGCAUCUGGCUUGAUGCAAUAUAGAUCACAAAAUUCAAUGAGGUAGCUAAGUUCGUCGAUCCCUUCACCAGUCAUCAACUUGGGCAGAAAAAAGGAAACUAUUUCCCGAUCAGAAGGAUUGAACACCACUCCUGGAGCUGGAGGAUGGAACAUCAUCGCUAGGGUCGGAGUUAGAAUGAGAUUUUCUUGUUUUGGGAAAGAGAGUGAAGAGGUUUUUAGCGUCAAAAGGAAGCAGAAUGCUUUGUUUUCUGAAAGUGAAGUAAGAAGAAAUCUAGUUGCUUAAUUCUGCUUUUAUUUAUAGUUACCAAAAGAGACGGUUUAAGCAGAAUUCUACUUGCUUAAUUCUAGUUGCCUAAAACGCGUUUUUUGUUUUUAAUUUUAAAUUUGAAAUUUGGUAGCGCUGCUUCUGAUGGUCUCUUGAUCAGCUUUGCUAUGAAAGUUCCUUGAUGGUACAAGAACACUAAAGCAAGGCACCUCACCCUCACUCCAACCAUGGCCGCCGAUAUCAGGAUCUCUACCAGCGACCACCAGGCCUUGUCUCCCAUCACGGUACCUUCCCCCUCUCAAUCUCCCCUCCAAUUCCCAUGUUUCCCCCGUGAGGUUAUAAUUCGCCCCUCCCCUGCAUGUCUUGGGUUUUAGCUCCUGAAUUUUAGCAUGGAAACUCAAUUAGAUUUCUAUUUUAUUUUAAUUAAUAUCAAAUGAACUUCUUUUACUAAAUUUCAAGGAAUUUAUUUGGAAAUGCUCAUAUUUUUUUCACUUUUAAAGUAAAGGAUAUGUUUGUUUGAAAUUUCAAUGUCAGUACAUACGUGUGAUUUCUAUGGUUUCCUGUAAAACAAUGCUCAGAGUUAUUCAAGAUGGUGAUUUGGGUUGGGAUGAAUGGCAUAAUUAGCUUUACUUAAUCAUCUUUUCCAUAACUUGUUACAAUUUUUUACUACAAGAUUGUUAAUAGAUGAGAAUGGAGGGAGACUUUGAAGAAUUGUUAAUAACUGUUUGGGGUAAAGGGUUGAAUCUAUCAUGAUAGGAAAGGGAUGCACUUGAUAGUAAAGAUGUGAUAAGAACUUUUUGAUAAGCAUUAAAUGGGAUGAUUUGGGUUGAAUCCAUCAUGAUAGGAAAGGGAUGCCUCAUGCCUGGUGCCUAGUCUGAUGAGAGAAAGUAAUGAUAACAACUUUUGUUUCGAAACGGACUGUAUAUCACCAGAAUCAUUUCUCAUGCACUGUUACCAGUAUGUUGUUUUGAGGCCUUGUCUGUUGUUUUGGCUCUUUUUCCCCUGUUAGCGCAGGUUUAUCGGGUUCACUUGUAAAUAGGGAAAGAAUUGGUUUCUUUGUCUCUGCAGGACACGGAGGGUAUACUGGUGUUCCUGUUACCAGUCUAUGCUGUGAGGGUCAAGACUAACUGCCAAUCAGUCUUCUACUCUCCUCUGUUUGUUUUUGGACUCCCUCUAUGGAAUGAAUGACUUAAUUUUCAAAAAGCAAAAAAAAAAAAAAAGGUUAAAUCUUUUUCUAUAUACCAUGACCAGAACCCAGCUUUAUUUUUUUGUGGCCAAAUAAAAUUGUGAAGAAAUAUCACUUUGCUUUACAUGAAAGAGAUUAGGAAACAACUUAUUUCUUUGGGAGGUAGGAGAUGUGAUGAAAUUUUUAGGUUGAGAAAAGAUUUAUGGAUGGAUAUAGAAUGAAGCGCAAUUAUAUUUCAUAUGGACAUUUUGUAUUUUACUUUGUUGUUUCGAAUUCUGAAUUUUAAUUUGUUAUAAUUCUUUUUGGAUAUUUAAUUUUCUUGAAAUCCCAUGAGUGGUAAAAAGGAUAGCUAGUCCACCAAAAUAAAACUUGAUUGCAAAUUUAAAAGCUCUAACUAGGAAAUACCUAUAAAGAGGAAUGCCACAAUAUUUUCUUCUUUUUUUUUAAUUUUUGGCCAUUUCUAGCUUGGAAAUAGCUAUUGUUCACAUAGAUGAAUCAAGCACUUGGAACCCUAUGGUAGAAUCAUCAGGUAGAUAGACACUUUCAUGGUAUUUUCUUUCUGAAUUUAAAAUGUAUGGCAAAGUCUUUCAUAUGCCAGCUAUCCACAUUGCAAGUCUGGAAUCAGUAAUCAGCAAUAUUAUGGUAUCUUUGUGCGAUCUUAUUGUAUAUAUAUAUCCAAGUUACAAAAUAUAAAGCCAUGUUGACAAGGCUAAGGAAGAAAGAAGUAUAUAAGUUUUGGCUCUAUAUAGAGUGCAAGGCUGGAGGGCCUUCCAUCAUCCUAUUUCAUGCUUCUGGCAGUUUGAUAUCAAAAUCUCUUGCUUCUCUGAUGCUGGAUUUGUAGGAUUGCAAGAUAUUCUGCUUAUGAACUGUCACCUUCAUGCUGUCGAAAAUUCCUGAUCCAGUAUUAUGAGGAAACUGCUAAGUUACAUGUGACAAGCACAAAUACAUAUCAGAUUACACAGGAGUGAUACCCAGGACAUUAUGAUAACUAAGUGAUGGUGGCGAGAAACUAGAGUUUUGGGAAGUAUAAUUUGCAUCUCAUUGAUGGAAGCCUCCAAAUAACAAAUUUCUUUUUUUGGGCUUUUUGAUAUAAACCAAACAUCAAGGUUGCAUAAAUAACUUUAGUUUUCGGAAGUAUAACUUGGUUAUAAGAGGAAUGCCAUGGUAUUGGUUUUUUAAUUAUUUGGCCGAACUCCAUAGAAAGUCAAAGGGAAGAUUACCUAGUGGUUACUUAUUUCCAUAUACAAUGUCCCCCACAAAUUUAAGUGCUGGAACACCUCUAAUUUCCAUGUCAACUAGGGGUGCUUGGUUUAACUUCAAGCUGGAUAGCUCUGGAUUGUUAUGAAUCAUAUCAAGGGCACGCAUCUGAUGUUGAAAUAUUUAAUUAACAAUAAAUAAUUAAAAAUAUUCGAAUAUUUGAUUUAUUGGUUAGUACAUAAUUUUUUAUUUAAAAAAUAUGAUUCAAAUCCCUCUUCUCUCAAUUAAAAAAAAAACAAUGAAUAAUUAAGGGGAAGAGUAAGUUGGAAAGGAAGAUGAAGAUACUAAUGUUCCAUCUUUUCGUUAAUAUAUUCUUCCAUUCAACAUGCUAUGACACAUCGAUCACCAUUCGUCAUAAUAUUAUUGAGGGUAAACAGAUUUAUACCUUUAUUUUCACAGCACAGAACUUGCAGUCAGAGGCAGAUGGAUGAAGAAUCUGAUUAACAAUAAGUCGCCUGACAGGAACAUUUUCCAUCUCCAAGAAGGCACGUAGUCUAGAUGACUCACUGACUGCCAUCACCUAAGGAAAGGACAUAAAACAUGAGCAAUGAGCACAGAGGUUCUUCUAGUUGUUGUAAUAAGGCAAUGAGCAGAGGCUCUUUGUGUGGACACACAGAACUUUGGAUAGAACUAUAAUCAACACGUUUACCCAUUUCACCUACACGUUUUGUGCUGCAGGUGCUUUUUUAAGGAAGCAGGGAGUUUUCCCUUUCUAGGUACCAUUAUCAACUAUGUAUGAGUAUGACGACUUGAAUAUAAUCUAAUUCAGCAUUUCAAAAAUAUAUAUAUUAUAAAUAUUCAGAAAUCAAAACAUAUUUUUUUAUCAUUUGCACUAAAUUUAUUUGUAAUUUUACAUAUUAUUAUAUUAUAUUGUAGAUAUUUAUAUUUUGUAUGGUUUUAGGAUUGAUACUGUAUGUUGUUUGAAUUUUAAUAAAUUUCAAAUAUAAUUAUAUGCUAAUUUUGCAAUAUUUAUUAUUAAAUAAAAUAUAAAUUAUAUGAUUUAUAAAAUAUAACUGUAGAAAGUGCAGGCAGUGUCAAUAGGAGCUCCCUUGAGCACCUGCACCAUAUAUACACAUUCGAAUCCUCACUAGCAAUAAAUUACAAAUCGAAUACGUUUUGUGACCUUUGUUUUGACACAAGUGUAGGAUCACCUUCUAUGCUCCAGAGAUGGAUUUCUUGGAUUAUAAGCUUCAUCAGUAAGAACUUAUUGUCUUUUGAUAAUGAGAAUGAAGUAAUCAUGUCUACCUCUUCAAUAAGUCACUCAAAUUUUGCCUCCCAGUCGAGCAAUAGUAUAGCAGAUUCUCUGCAUAUGCUUAUGAUCCUCUUAUCAUCAUCAGUUAUGGCCAUAUCUGAGAUUUUAAGUGUCUUCUGUCCUUUACAGCAUUCUCCAGAACUGACAUCCCAAGGCCUCAUACCCUCCUCCUGUCCACAAGUAAGGAUUUGGCUAUCAUCUGGGCUCCAUGAAACAGUUAAUACUGGUUUCUGGUGGCCGCAUAGGGUAGGCUUCAGUGAACUUUGCCCUUGACCACUAGUUAUCUUAAUCCCAUAUGUAGUCCAUGUGUAGUCAUGCAUUCAUUUGGUCCACAAAGGCAAUGUGUGAGGGAUGUGAUCUCAUAUAUAGAAAUUGAACUACAGCGGAUUUGAAUGACCUUAUCUAGCUAUAUAUCUAAUCUUGCACGACAAUCAGCCACCAUUUUUGAACAACUAUGUUGAAAAACUGGAAAAAUAGAAUGCCUUCUGUUGAGAUAAGCUAGUUUCUCACUUUAUUGAUAUAAGACAAUUUUGUAAGUGAUAUCAACUUGACAGAGCUAGCUUAUAAAUUAGCCUGGUCAAUUUGGUUGUUAGUUUGACUACUUACUUUUUCAGAAAUAAUUGAUAUUUUCAAAUAAUUAAAAAAAUAAAAAAAUUCCAUUUAGAAAUCUUUCUUAUCACAAAGAAUUAUUAUGAUUAACCAUUAAAGCCUAUAGAAUAAAGUCUAUUUUCUGGGUUCGUAAUUUGACUUUUCGUCAAUCUAAAUCCAUUUAAACAAAUAUUCAUGGCAAUCUAGAUGACUAGAGUUAGUGUUAAAAUAGACCUUCAUAUUAAUCGUCAUUUGCUUGCAUACUUAAAAAGAACUAACCCAAAAUUUAAAAUGGAAUAUGAAGGAUGUUCUACACCGUGCUAAUUAAAAAGCCAAUUAAAAUAUAGUUGAAAUACUCUACUUAUCAGGGCUUAACAUUAAAAAUUAAUUAAAGCUGUUUCCUGAUAUUAUACCAAAUAUAUAAAUAUCCCUGCAGCUGACAAGGCAAUGUUUUUUCCAUUGAAAAUUUUCUAUAUUAGAUUCAUUGGAAUGAGAAAGAAGAAUUAGAUAUUAUAGCGUGUUUUUCCAUCCAUAUGAUUGAUUUGUAAAAGAUUCUGAUAUUCAAAGAUACUCAAAAUAGGCAUGGCAAAAUAUAAUUAUAAAGUGAAAAAGGUCUUAAUAGGAAACUAUUAUUAGUAUCUUAUGUCAAAUUUAAACCAAAUUACAGAGAUAUAUGUAUGUCAAGAGAUACAAUAAUUUUGAGCUUGCUUAUUUAAUUAUGGCUACAUGACUAGGUAUAAAUAAGUGACUUCCUAGUCAAGUGUAUAAGCCCUUUGCAUUUAACCAAUGACGGGAACCCUGGUAACGAUCCCAUCAGUGUUAACCCAAACACGAACCCUAGUGCACAAGAAAUCCGGGGUGACAAAUGAUCCUUCCAACACAAUCACAGCAUUGACAUUAGGAUUCUCCCUCUCAAUUGUAGCUGCUGCCUCCUCCCCUUUUGCUCCCAGGAGCUCCGGCCAUGAACUUUUCCCUACAUAUAUAGGCAUAGCCACAAGAAUUUGCAUUAAACAAAAGGAAAUUGUUAAUCAGUACAAACCAUUCGAGGCUCUGGAAGUUGUUAUUUACCUUGGCAUUCAUCUGAAGCCAUGUUUCUCUUCUUUUCACUCUAUUGCAAUAUCCUUUUCCUCUUUGAUUUAAUUGUGUUAUGGCAAUCGGGUAAAAGGGGUAUUUAUAGAUGAAAAGUAUAUGGUGGUUUGUUGGACAUUAUUGACUUUCAAGGCUUAUGCCAAAAGUUUGAAGUUCUUGGCAAAUUAAUUGUUCCAUAGUUUUCAAACCUGCAUUUAGCUAUAUGAUCAGAAAUCCGUCAGCUGUAAUUACAUGAUAGAUGGUGCAUUCUUUAAGCAAUUCUUCUCACGUUUCCUUUCAGAUUUUAUUUAAAACCAUCGGAUAUAUAUAUAUAUGAUCAGCCACUAUUUUUUCAUUGAAAUUUUCUAUGCGUCUGAUUACAUCAAAGCUUCUUUGAACAGUUCCAUGUCUUUACUUGCAGAUAUUGCAAUAGCCAAUAGGGAAGCUUAUCACCAAGAUUGGCUUAUGCUUCAAGACAUUUCUUGAAUCAAGGCAAGGUUUUAAAAGGAAUGGCUUAAAACUGAUCUACAUCUCUACUGGUCAAAGUCAGCCUGUAAAUAUAUUGCGUACGUUGAAAAUUGUGCAUUUUCAUUCACAUUCAAUCCAAAUUUCCUAACAAGAUAUAUAGUUAAUUAAUUAUUGUAAGCAUUCGGUUUUCAUUUUAUAAAUACUAGAGUGGUGCCCCGCUUUGCGUGGGUGUUAAAUUUUUUAUUAAAAACAAUAUCAAAUUAUAUAAUAUUAUAAAUAAAAAUAAUAAUUUUAAAUUUAAAAACACUAUAAAUAAUAGUUAUAAUGAUAAUUUAAAGAUAAUUAUUUUAAAAAUUAUUUUUUAAAAUAUUUCUCAUCUCUUAUUAAGCAAAAUUUUUUAUUUAAAUAAUUUUUUUGAAAACAUUUAAUUUUUUAUAUCUUAAUAUAUGCUAAUAUUGAUAUAUUUAUAUUUUAUUAAUUACAUGAUUCUAACUGUGAAAUCAAAUUUAUAUUGAGAAAAUAUAAUGUUUUAAAAGUAAUUAUUGAUAAGCUAUAUAAUUGAUAUAAUAAAAUUAUUCAAAUAAAAUAAAAAUUUUUGAAAGUCAAAAUGAAAUAAAUAUUAAUUAUACUUAUUAAAUUUUUUUUAGUUUUAAUGAUGAAAUUUUCUAAAUGAUCUUUAAUUUUAAUUAAUACUUUUUUAUCUCAUGCCUUUAUAAUUAUUUAGAAUUAAUCUCCCUUAUAAUUCCUUUCGUGUCUCAUUAAAAAUUAAAAAUUUGCUUCACGUCAAACUUGAAUGAAAUCCAUAAAUGUCCACUAAAAAAGUUUAUUUUUAUAUUUUAUUCUAUAAAAAAUAUAUAUUUCAUAGUACAUGAAAGCACUGUUAGCUUCAAUUCCCUAUGAACCAAAACAUUAUCAAUACGGUAAAAAUGCUCUUAUGAAGCUAAAGAAAAAAAUUCCUCUGUUGACAAUCUUAAAUGCAACCGACCUCACAAAAAUCAUCUCAAAAUUUUUUAUAAAUCAACCAUUUUAAAUUAGCCACAUGUCAAUGAAAAAAGCCACAAACGUGGCCAAGUGUGGAAGCCCCUUUGAAGCUUCCCUUUACUUAAGUUAUAGAUAUAUCUAUUUAUUGAAUCGAAAGUGUACAUUUAAUUUGAAAUAGAUCAUAGGAAAUGUAACAUGGGGUGAAAUUAUAAAGUGUUUUGUGAUCUUUAUUGAGAUUUCAUUUUUAUGUAAUGUAGAGAAACAAACUCAAUGAUGAACCAUGAUAGAGUUGAAUCAUUUCAUUUUCAUCACAGCUUGAACACGAACCAAUCUGGAAUCAAACCGUGGGGGUCUGUACCGAGGAAGGGUAUUACUAUUCUACCAUUUGAGUCCUUCCAACUUCACCUUGACAAAUUUAUCACCACGCAGCCCUAACCCCUAAAUCUGAUGAGGAAAAACCCAAAAUGCCUCUGUCCCAAAAUAUUUAAAUUACAUUUACAUAUUUUUUGUCAAUAAUGAUUUGCACUUUUUAAGUAUUAAUUACAUACAAGGGAGCCAAAUCAUAUUCAUCUUGUAAGAAAGAAAUGACAUGAUGCUUCAUUUAAAAAAAAAAAGAAGAAAUUAAAACUAAAUGUAACCUACCGCUAUAUAUAAAGUAUAAAUUAAUAACUUUUCUUUGAAAAUUAGAAAUUCAUAUCUGUCCAUGGCAUUCUCUUUCCAGAUUCCAAUUUCAUGGCAAAGUCUUUCCAUAUGUCUGAUCUCUACAUACUAUUGCAAUCCCAAAUCAGAAAUCAGGCUUUGAUAUCUUAUAAAGCUUUAUCCUGAUCUCACAAAAUAAAUGUUGUAGUAGUUGACAAGGUAAUUUGUUCUCUAUGUUCCUAUAUUACGAAUAAAUAACAGUUUACAGAAUUAAAUUUGACUCAAUAGUUCAUGUAUGUGUUCCCUUCAAAGAAUGAGAUUUGAAUUUCUUUUCUUCAAGAAAACAAAAGAAAGAAAAUGUUAUAAGAUUGUCAUUAUUUGCAACAACAUUCUCUGACAUCACAAGAAUUAAUCCUUCUUGAGCAAUUGGAGUUAAUAGGAGUUAAGAGGAUGUAAGACGACAUUUUGCAAAGAAUGGACCAUUUAGGUCCGGCACCUUCAAAAUUUUGCAUUUUUUCUCCCUUAAUUCCAAAUUCAAGUGCAUGACAAAAUAUGAUCAUAAAGUACAAAGAAGUCUUAAUGGAGACGGUUCAAAAUCUUAUUUCAAAUUAAAAAUAAAUUACAAACUUAAAUAAAGAUAAUGAGAUCAUAUAACAUAAUAUUGGGUAUUCUUAUUUUAAAUUAUAAUACAUAAUUCGUGUUUAUUAAAGAAAUUAAAACAAGUAACUUGCUAGUAAAGCAUAGGCCCUUCACAAUUUAACCAAUCAUAGGAACCCUGGUAACAAUCCCAUAGGUGUUAACCCAAACUCGAACCCUAGUGCACAAGAAAUCCGCUGUAACAAAUGAUCCUUCUAACACAAUCACAGCAUUGACACGAGGAUUCUCCUUCUCAAUUGUUGCUGCCGCAUCCUCCCCUUUCUUCCCCACAAGCUCAGGCCAAGAACUUUUCCCUACAUUUAUAGCCACAAG